CCUACGGGAGGCAGCAGUGGGGAAUAUUGGACAAUGGGGGCAACCCUGAUCCAGCAAUGCCGCGUGAGUGAUGAAGGCCUUAGGGUUGUAAAGCUCUUUUACCGGGGACGAUGAUGACGGUACCCGGAGAAUAAGCCCCGGCUAACUUCGUGCCAGCAGCCGCGGUAAUACGAAGGGGGCGAGCGUUGUUCGGAGUUACUGGGCGUAAAGGGCGCGUAGGCGGCGCUCCAAGUUAGGCGUGAAAGCCCCGGGCUCAACCUGGGAAUAGCGCUUAAGACUGGAGUGCUUGAGUGCGGGAGAGGUGAGUGGAAUUCCCAGUGUAGAGGUGAAAUUCGUAGAUAUUGGGAAGAACACCAGUGGCGAAGGCGGCUCACUGGCCCGCAACUGACGCUGAGGCGCGAAAGCGUGGGGAGCAAACAGGAUUAGAUACCCUGGUAGUCCACGCCGUAAACGAUGAGUGCUAGACGUUGGGAGACUUAGUCUCUUAGUGUCGCAGCUACGACAUGAGCACUCCGCCGUCGGGUAGGUACGGUCCGGCCGAACGGUUAAAACGUUAAAACGGUAAAGUUAGUACGGCGUGAGACGUGCCGAACGGACGACCGACGAGGGAGUAGG
Molecule: ribosomal RNA, 615 nt
Filed under: uncultured bacterium
Lineage: Bacteria
Description: bacterial SSU rRNA
Rfam family: Bacterial small subunit ribosomal RNA (bases 1-517)
Source: RNAcentral